RNAcentral lists this ribosomal RNA (261 nucleotides) under uncultured bacterium. RNAcentral's name for it is "partial 16S ribosomal RNA". It matches the Rfam family "Bacterial small subunit ribosomal RNA", at positions 515 to 775 of the family's 1533-position model. The record is from RNAcentral.
CCGCGGUAACACGUAGGAGGCAAGCGUUAUUCGGAUUUACUGGGUGUAAAGCGCGUGUAGGCGGUUCGGAAAGUUGGAUGUGAAAGCUCCCGGCUUAACUGGGAGAGGCCGUUCAAAACUUCCGGACUAGGGAUUGGUAGAGGAAGAUGGAAUUCCGAGUGUAGUGGUGAAAUGCGCAGAUAUUCGGAGGAACACCAGUGGCGAAAGCGAUCUUCUAGACCAAAACUGACGCUCAGACGCGAAAGCUAGGGUAGCAAACGG